This 497-nucleotide ribosomal RNA is filed under the name uncultured bacterium. RNAcentral's name for it is "partial 16S ribosomal RNA". It matches the Rfam family "Bacterial small subunit ribosomal RNA", at positions 899 to 1397 of the family's 1533-position model. The record is from RNAcentral.
ACUCAAAUGAAUUGACGGGGACCCGCACAAGCAGCGGAGCAUGUGGAUUAAUUCGACGCAACGCGAAGAACCUUACCUGGGUUUGACAUAUAACUGACAACCAUGGAAACAUGGCCUUCCUUCGGGACAGUUAUACAGGUGGUGCAUGGCUGUCGUCAGCUCGUGUCGUGAGAUGUUGGGUUGAGUCCCGCAACGAGCGCAACCCCCGUCCUAUGUUGCCAGCAUUUAGUUGGGGACUCAUAGGAGACUGCCGGUGACAAACCGGAGGAAGGUGGGGAUGACGUCAAGUCAUCAUGCCCCUUAUAUCCAGGGCUUCACACGUGCUACAUUGGCGCAUACAAAGGGCUGCGAUACCGCAAGGUGGAGCCAAUCCCAAAAAGUGCGUCUCGGUUCGGAUUGGGGGCUGAAACUCGCCCCCAUGAAGGCGGAGUUGCUAGUAAUCCCGGAUCAGCAAUGCCGGGGUGAAUACGUUCCCGGGUCUUGCACACACCGCCCGU